GAUGAACGCUGGCGGCGUGCCUAAUACAUGCAAGUCGAGCGAACGGACGAGAAGCUUGCUUCUCUGAUGUUAGCGGCGGACGGGUGAGUAACACGUGGAUAACCUACCUAUAAGACUGGGAUAAAUUCGGGAAACCGUAGCUAAUACCGGAUAAUAUUUUGAACCGCAUGGUUCAAAAGUGAAAGACGGUCUUGCUGUCACUUAUAGAUGGAUCCGCGCUGCAUUAGCUAGUUGGUAAGGUAACGGCUUACCAAGGCAACGAUGCAUAGCCGACCUGAGAGGGUGAGCGGCCACACUGGAACUGAGACACGGUCCAGACUCCUACGGGAGGCAGCAGUAGGGAAUCUUCCGCAAUGGGCGAAAGCCUGACGGAGCAACGCCGCGUGAGUGAUGAAGGUCUUCGGAUCGUAAAACUCUGUUAUUAGGGAAGAACAUAUGUGUAAGUAACUGUGCACAUCUUGACGGUACCUAAUCAGAAAGCCACGGCUAACUACGUG
Molecule: ribosomal RNA, 497 nt
Filed under: uncultured bacterium
Lineage: Bacteria
Description: partial 16S ribosomal RNA
Rfam family: Bacterial small subunit ribosomal RNA
Source: RNAcentral